This 23-nucleotide non-coding RNA is filed under the name Drosophila melanogaster (fruit fly). Lineage: Eukaryota; Metazoa; Arthropoda; Insecta; Diptera; Drosophilidae. The record is from RNAcentral.
UUGAUAGUUUCAGCGGAUCCCAA